Molecule: ribosomal RNA, 493 nt
Filed under: uncultured cyanobacterium
Lineage: Bacteria; Bacillati; Cyanobacteriota
Description: bacterial SSU rRNA
Rfam family: Bacterial small subunit ribosomal RNA
Source: RNAcentral
GAGUUUGAUCAUGGUUCAGGACUAACGCUGGCGGCGUGCCUAACACAUGCAAGUCGAACGAGGUAGCAAUACCUAGUGGCAGACGGGUGAGUAACACGUGGUCAACCUUCCAUCCAGUGGGGGAUAACUAGCCGAAAGGUUAGCUAAUACCGCAUGCGAUCUCCGAGGGGCAUCCCUUGAAGAUGAAAGGAGCAAUCCGCUGGAUGACGGGACCGCGUCCCAUUAGCUCGUUGGUGAGGUAACGGCUCACCAAGGCUUCGAUGGGUAGCUGGUUUGAGAGAGCGACCAGCCACACUGGGACUGAGACACGGCCCAGACUCCUACGGGAGGCAGCAGUGAGGAAUUUUCCGCAAUGGGCGAAAGCCUGACGGAGCGACGCCGCGUGUGGGAAGAAGGCCUUCGGGUCGUAAACCACUGUCGAAGGGGAAGAUAAUGACGGUACCCUUGGAGGAAGCCCCGGCUAACUACGUGCCAGCAGCCGCGGUAAGACGUA